AAAAGAGCAUUUUUCAAAUCCCCUUUCAUUGAAACAAAAGCAGCAAUCGACCAUCAACCCCAGAAUGAAGAAAAUAAAGUGUUGCAGCCUAUCCCAUCUAGAGACCCAGUUGCCAAAGUAACAUCUUAGACAAUUAAGCCAACAUUCCAACAACCUAUUGAACAUCUAAUUGCGACAGAAAAAGAAUAGGAACAUACAAUGCAAGAAUGGAGCACAAACAAUAAUGAUUAAAUAAAUACAUUGCAUAUGGAAUAGAAAUGCAAAAACAAAUGAACACACAAAAUCUACGCCCUUUUGAUACCAAUUAAACCAUGACUUGAUUUCAGUGAAAUGCAUAACCAGUUAACUACUAACAUCAAAGCUUAAGACGAACUAACGUGAUGGCUGUGAUCCAAAUCAAGAAAUCAAAAACCCAUUUUAUCUAAUGGAAUCAAAUACCCAUUUCAAACAAAGAAAUUAAG
RNAcentral lists this unclassified non-coding RNA (461 nucleotides) under Hevea brasiliensis (rubber tree). The record is from RNAcentral. Lineage: Eukaryota; Viridiplantae; Streptophyta; Magnoliopsida; Malpighiales; Euphorbiaceae.